This 206-nucleotide ribosomal RNA is filed under the name uncultured bacterium. Its description in RNAcentral is "partial 16S ribosomal RNA". It matches the Rfam family "Bacterial small subunit ribosomal RNA", at positions 568 to 774 of the family's 1533-position model. The record is from RNAcentral.
UGCGUAGGUGGUUUCUUAAGUCAGAGGUGAAAGGCUACGGCUCAACCGUAGUAAGCCUUUGAAACUGAGAAACUUGAGUACAGGAGAGGAGAGUGGAAUUCCUAGUGUAGCGGUGAAAUGCGUAGAUAUUAGGAGGAACACCAGUUGCGAAGGCGGCUCUCUGGACUGUAACUGACACUGAGGCACGAAAGCGUGGGGAGCAAACA